AAUACGGAGGGCGCGAGCGUUACCCGGAUUUACUGGGCGUAAAGGGCGUGUAGGCGGCCUGGGGCGUCCCAUGUGAAAGACCACGGCUCAACCGUGGGGGAGCGUGGGAUACGCUCAGGCUAGACGGUGGGAGAGGGUGGUGGAAUUCCCGGAGUAGCGGUGAAAUGCGCAGAUACCGGGAGGAACGCCGAUGGCGAAGGCAGCCGCCUGGUCCACUUGUGACGCUGAGGCGCGAAAGCGUGGGGAGCAAACCGGAUUAGAUACCCGGGUAGUCCACGCCCUAAACGAUGCGCGCUAGGUCUUUGGGGUUACUGGGGGCCGAAGCCAACGCGUUAAGCGCGCCGCCUGGGGAGUACGGCCGCAAGGCU
This 368-nucleotide ribosomal RNA is filed under the name uncultured Thermaceae bacterium. RNAcentral's name for it is "bacterial SSU rRNA". It matches the Rfam family "Bacterial small subunit ribosomal RNA", at positions 522 to 895 of the family's 1533-position model. The record is from RNAcentral. Lineage: Bacteria; Thermotogati; Deinococcota; Deinococci; Thermales; Thermaceae.